Molecule: ribosomal RNA, 301 nt
Filed under: uncultured bacterium
Lineage: Bacteria
Description: partial 16S ribosomal RNA
Rfam family: Bacterial small subunit ribosomal RNA
Source: RNAcentral
CAGUCGCCGCGGUAAUACGGAGGGAGCUAGCGUUGUUCGGAAUCACUGGGCGUAAAGCGCACGUAGGCGGCUAUUCAAGUCAGGGGUGAAAGCCCGGGGCUCAACCCCGGAACUGCCUUUGAAACUAGAUAGCUUGAAUCUUGGAGAGGCGAGUGGAAUUCCGAGUGUAGAGGUGAAAUUCGUAGAUAUUCGGAAGAACACCAGUGGCGAAGGCGACUCGCUGGACAAGUAUUGACGCUGAGGUGCGAAAGCGUGGGGAGCAAACAGGAUUAGAUACCCCUGUAGUCCCUGUCUCUUAUAU